AAAGAAUCUUUAUUUUUACAAGUGUAUGUUACACAAUACAUAUAAGCUAUUAUACAUAAUAUAUAUUGAGAACUCGGUAGUGGAAAUGACACCCUAAAUUCGGGAGGCAGUCUGUAACGGCCUUGUAUAUGCCUCCUUUGCUUGACUAACUCCAACAAGAAAGAUAUGGUAAAAAUGGUCCCUUGACACACAGACCAAAAUACAAUAUUCUGUGAUAUUCAAAUCACUAAAUAAUGUACAGCAUAUAUUUAACAUCCAUCUGACCAGGCUACAAUUUAGUAGUUCAAAGUGAAAGAGCAAUGAAAUAAUCCAUGCAUUAAUCGCUUAUUAUGAACGUAAUUAUCAGAAUUGAUAAUCGUCUUGUUUUGACAAAUCCAAGGGAUUAAAGAUAUUUACAGUUAACCAUAAUUAUACAAAAUAAUUUUGAGGAACUGUAUGUAGGCUACUUAGACGACUCAACAAGUGAAAACGCAGGAGGAAAUUACACCGUUUGAAAAAUAUAUGCAUGACAGAUCGUGUGAAGUAAAAAAUAUUUUGUUACAUUGAAGCAUUUACGAUUUAUUGUUUUGUUGUUGUUGUUUUGUGUGUGUUGCAUAUUCUUGCAAAGGAGAACUGUCUCAUCAAUAGAGUGUAGCCUACAUAUCUUAAGAAAACAACGAAUCUUGCAAAAAGUUUAUGGCUGGUAUAGCCUAGGCUAUUAUCAUGACUAAAGUUAUAGACAGCACUUGAUACUUUCGGGAGAAAGGCAUCCGGCAUUUGAGCGAGAUGAAUGAAUUAGCUUCAGAAUGAUAUUUUAUUCAUUUACAGACCGAUUGCAUUUACUGGCAUUUGAAAGGCACAAAUAUAUUUUCUGUUUGAUGAGAAAGUUUAAUAACAAUCCACGAGUGUUGACAUCUGCUUGGUAGCGAGCGUGUCUGAAUUCGCUUAUUUAGCCUACUCUUCAUUUAACCGAUCGCCUCAAAUUACCACAUUCUGCUUAAAGCGAAUUCGACUAAACCUGUCACUAUAGUUUUUGGCUAGACGUGCGAUUUAAAUAACCAAACUAGUAAUUGGAGAAAAAAAAACAUUUCUAGCCAUGAAACUUUUUUGUAAAACAAAUUUAUUCAUUUAGGAAUAGGAUGGUCUUGAGUAGAAACGUCAGUUUAAAUAAAACUCUCCGUCCCACAUAAUGGGUUAACCUGAUACUGCAAUAACAUCACAGAAAGAAACAUUCACAAAACAAAAGUGGAACAUUUCAACAAGACGUACAAUGGUUCACAAGCUUAAAAAAAACAACUCACUAUAAAUAAAACAAACUUUGCGCUUGCGACCAGCACAGUCUUUAAUUAUAAUAAAACCUAGUUCAUAAAUGAACAACAAAAAACUACACAGAUUUGGACAAAACUGGCAAUCUAAAAAUAAGUGUAAACAUUUAUGAGUGAACAUAGAUUCGCUCCAUUUUUCUUUCUUUUUUGUUUUUGAAACAGGCUACAGCCUCUUCACGAAGCCACGUGCCUUUUUCAUAGAAACAAACUCUGACGGCAAAUAAGUCAGAAGUCCAAUAUUCUUCUACAGACGUUGAUUGCUUUACAGCUUAUGAUAAAAAGCUCCUCUGCAUUACAGUUUAUUCAGAAGAGUCCCGAUAUGUCGUCAUAAAAUGCUCUAAAACGGACAACUCAUUGAGAUUAAAAAUAGAAAUUGAACUUCGAUUCUUUUUUGCGAAUCAAAAUGUUCAAGUAUCCGAUGUAGCCUACUUAGUCUUUUUAGGAGUCUUUUAAAUGUGGGUAAGGGGUAGCGUUCCGUUCACGCCAGUCCCUGCGCUUUGAUAGUGCGGGUGAACGCUGUGUAACCGACUGCUCUGUAGGCUGGAGUGGUCGGCGCUGUCUCCUCCGGGGGGCAGGUACAUGCUUAUCAUAUCCCUCAGGUCUCCCAAACAAGCACGCUGAGAGUGAGAGGUUAUGGCCGGAGGAGGAGAGCUGGGUUCCGUCUUGCACACUGAAGCAAUGGAGCCCAAACCCAUUGCACUGGAAGUUUGCUGCGUGUAUGCUGGUGACAUGCUGUACGUGGACGCGGCGUUCAUGUAGGUCUGGGCCGUGGACAUCAUCGGGUACUGAAGUCCCGCCAUGUCGUACCGGUGCAUCUGCUGGAUCUGGGGGCUGUUCAUGCUGGGAUGCUGAGGGUAGGCCAGCUGGUCCUGCAUGAGAGAGUACGCGCUGUUCGUCCAGCCGUUCAUGUGCGUGUACUCCAUCCGCUGGCCCACUGACACGGCGUUGUUGACAGCGGUGGCACCGUGUGCCAAAAGUCCUCCGGGCAAGGAAUACUUGUCUUUCUUCAGCAGGGUCUUGGUCUUCCUGCGGGGACGGUAUUUGUAAUCCGGGUGCUCCUUCAUGUGCAUGGCUCGUAACCGCUUGGCCUCAUCAAUGAAGGGUCUCUUUUCGGCGUCAGUCAGAAUUUUCCAGUCAGCACCGAGGCGCUUGCUGAUCUCAGAGUUGUGCAUUUUGGGAUUCUCUUGUGCCAUCUUCCGCCGCUGGCCGCGGGACCACACCAUGAAAGCAUUCAUAGGCCGCUUCACCCGGUCCUGGUCGUUGGAACUGUUGUUUUUGCCGCCCGCCGCGGAGCCCGUGUUGGACUGCGGAAGGGGGCUUUUAAUCUCGGUUUCCAUCAUGUUAUACAUUCAAACGACUUGAAAGUGGUGCCGAGCACUCGAAAGAAAACGCUGAAGUUUAAAUAGCCUCACAAAAUAAAGAAGUAGCCUGUUGUCAGUCAAAAGUUCAAGAGAGCUAAAACUCUGAUCAAGUGAAAAGCAGCGAACCCUUUCAACUGUCUCCACGCUAGUCCCGUGUGUCUUGCUCUGCUCUGCUCUGCCACGGAACUCUGCAAAGUUGUGCGAUAAACUCAGCUGUUAAUAGAGGCUCGGCCAUGUGAUUUGGAUUGACAGCAUAACAAUGAGCUCAGCGCCGACCAAUCAGAGAGCGCCUAACACUCCG
This is a long non-coding RNA of Cyprinus carpio carpio, 2966 nucleotides long. Lineage: Eukaryota; Metazoa; Chordata; Actinopteri; Cypriniformes; Cyprinidae. The record is from Ensembl.